Molecule: non-coding RNA, 73 nt
Filed under: human gut metagenome
Description: Cyclic di-GMP-I riboswitch
Rfam family: c-di-GMP-I riboswitch aptamer (bases 8-72)
About the family: GEMM was predicted in a large-scale screen for bacterial structured RNA regulatory elements. Genes associated with GEMM are involved in a diverse array of functions, including chemotaxis regulation, signal transduction, secretion and chitin.
Source: RNAcentral
GUGAAAAGCAAAGCUGUCGUGAGGCAGUGACGCAAAGCUAUAGGGUCUUUUUUGAAAGACAGCCAGUUGCCAU